This 141-nucleotide non-coding RNA is filed under the name unclassified sequences. RNAcentral's name for it is "lysM-TM7 RNA". It matches the Rfam family "lysM-TM7 RNA". The record is from RNAcentral.
GCCUAUCUGAAAUGUCGCACGGAUACCAGAAAACUAUAAUAAAUAACACUGGUCGACACGUAUCCUUUUUGUUGUGUAAAAAUGCAAUAAAGCAAGACUGAGUACGGUAGACGCCCUCGUAGGAAACUCGAGCGGCAGGAG